Oncorhynchus tshawytscha (Chinook salmon) is the source of this 2173-nucleotide long non-coding RNA. Lineage: Eukaryota; Metazoa; Chordata; Actinopteri; Salmoniformes; Salmonidae. The record is from Ensembl.
CAGGGGUCAGGUGUACAGUAACUACAGGUAACAGGAGUCAGGUGUACAGUAACUACAGGUAACAGGAGUCAGGUGUACAGUAACUACAGGUAACAGGGGUCAGGUGUACAGUAACUACAGGUAACAGGAGUCAGGUAUACAGUAACUACAGGGGUCAGGUGUACAGUAACUACAGGUAACAGGGGUCAGGUGUACAGUAACUACAGGGGUCAGGUGUACAGUAACUACAGGUAACAGGGGUCAGGUGUACAGUAACUACAGGUAACAGGAGUCAGGUGUACAGUAACUACAGGUAACAGGAGUCAGGUGUACAGUAACUACAGGUAACAGGAGUCAGGUGUACAGUAACUACAGGUAACAGGGUUCAGGUGUGCAGUAACUACAGGGGUCAGGUGUACAGUAACUACAGGUAACAGGGGUCAGGUGUACAGUAACUACAGGGGUCAGGUGUACAGUAACUACAGGUAACAGGAGUCAGGUGUACAGUAACUACAGGUAACAGGGGUCAGGUGUACAGUAACUACAGGUAACAGGGGUCAGGUGUACAGUAACUACAGGUAACAGGAGUCAGGUAUACAGUAACUACAGGUAACAGGGGUCAGGUGUACAGUAACUACAGUACAGUACAUGUUUGUCUGAGUGCCAGUGGAACAGAAGCUUCUCUUCUCCUUCUGUCUGUAAUUCUCCGGUCUUUCUUUGACACCCAGCAUAACAUUGUCGUGGGGUAUGUUAUUUUCGCUACAAGGGGUGCCGAAUCAGUUGGAAGGGCAUUUUAUUUCCAUAGCACGUAUUUAAUGUGUGCUAUAUCAGAGACAAUGGGCGGCAGGUGAGUUUCAACUUUGGGGAAGCUUACAAUUUAUCCUACAAUUUCUACCGAUCUACGUGGCAGUUAGGAUUUUUUUUUUUUUAUAUGAGCAUUUUCGUGGAACAUUUUCAUUUCAAUAAUGAAGUUUUCAAUAAUCGUCACAGGGUUAAUUAAUAAAAAUCUUUAGUGGGUCAGGUAAACAGCGGGCCAGGUAACAGCGGGCCAGGUAAACAGCGGGCCAGGUAAACAGCGGGCCAGGUAACAGCAGGCCAAGUAACAGCAGGCCAGGUUAACAGCGGGCCAGGUAACAGCGGGCCAGGUAAACAUCGGGCCAGGUAACAGCGGGCCAGGUAAACAGCGGGCCAGGUAAACAGCAGGGGGCCAGGUAAACAGCAGGGGGCCAGGUAACAGCAGGGGGCCAGGUAACAGCAGGCCAGGUAACAGCAGGCCAGGUAAACAGCAGGCCAGGUAAACAGCAGGCCAGGUUAACAGGACAGAGAAAGCAGACACGUUGCUCUCAUGGCCACUCCCAACAAAACACAAUUAAAAUUUUUUUUUUUACAAAACUCCAAAAUGAUGGUUAUGAAAUAAACCAAAACCUGUUUCUAACAAGUGUAACAGGUUAUGAACACACUGAGCAUGAGAACGAUACAUUACUAGUAUUAAUAAACGCAUUAACAUACAUGUAUGUAACCAAAUGUCUGCGAUUAACGGGUACAUUUACUAGACCUACUGAUAACCUGUGUAAUGGGGAACUCACGCAAUGAAACCACGAAAGCGCAAGAAUUGACGGGCGAUAGCUGAGCGCAUUUUGGAGACACGCGCCAUAUCUUCACCACACAGCCCUCCCCAUCUUCUUGUCUCAACAUUUAAAAAGAUACUCAAGCCACAUUAUCUAAACGCAUAUUUGCGACGCCUUUCACCUCGCCGCAGCUAGGCCUACGUGCGUGUGGUUUGAAACACUCCAGCGCUUCUUUUUUUUUGAGACGAAGAAGAAGGUAAUUUAUUCAAUUCCGGUGGCUGAAACCAGAGAUCUCUAUAUAAUGACGAGAUGCUCAAGUCUCGGCCCUAACAAUUGUAGUCGUUGUCCCAAAGGCGAGAAGGAAGGCAACAAGUUUAAUAAGUCUGCGUAUCAAUCCCAUAGAAACAGAUUGGGUUUAUUCUUGACAGAUUUUGGAAAGAGGGAGCCCCUCUCGCUUGCUUCUUUCUUCCUCUGUGCUGAAACUCUCUCUGAAGAAGGCAUCUGAUUGAGCAAAACAGCACCUAUCUGUAUGUUACUGUAUGUAGUUCAUGUAUCUGAUCCUGUCUGGACAAAAACAGCAAAUCAAAUAAAUAUAUAUAUAUAUCCAGUACACAUACUGAGACUCU